CAAAGUUCAACUCAGUCGCUCCAUUGGCCGUGAAUACUGAAUAGACAGGCAGCUGGAGGUCGUUACCGACACAAAAUUGGCCGUUCAGGAUAAAAAAUUCGAUGAUGGCGUUACGAACAAGGAAGGCGUCAAAAUCCUUCUAUAGUAUAUAUUUCCCGUAUAUCCUAAGACAAAGUAUGAUAUGGGUGUCACCUGAAUACAUAUUCUUCGGCGUUAGCGAAAUGGGCCUUCAAAUUUCCGGGAACUUUGCUCUGCAGUUUUCGACCUUAUUUGCGAAAUGCCUGUAGAUGUCAGCUGAAACAUUCCAUGACUAGAUUUAUGGUAACAAAGAAGUUACCAUUCAAACCAGGCGUAUUUCGACCAUUUGAAUAAUUGAAAAUAUACUGUCCAUCUAAGUCGUCAUCCACAUCCAAGUUAUGAGUUUAGUGUAUAGGACCAAAAUCCCGUUUACUGUUCACCAGAAGUACUUUUGCUUCCAGCUUCGAUUUACGCAACGCCAAUUCUAAGAUCAUUGGUCUGUGUAUCCAUAUGUUGUCACAUAAGAAUAACUGGCUUGUGUGUAUUUUACGCGUGAUGUAUCUUCAUUUGUAUACUUAAGUCUGGUUUUCCUUAUAUGAGGUUCAAUGUUUGAAGAGUUUUCUCCAUAUAUUUUUAUACUUUGUGCUUUUUUUAGUCAAGACUGAUGGUGGUUUCAAACCAUCUUGCCUCAGCUUCCUUUCUCAUCCUUGUAGACGUAGUGUUACUACUACUUGCUCUGAUUUUCAGUCUUCAGCUCUCCAUUGCCAUCUUCCAGUAUACAAACAUUAUUGUAAGACUUCUUUCUCUGACUCUGCUCUCACUUACAUUUUUAUUUGGUAAAUUGUCAGUUUUCCAAAUAAGUGAUCCCUUUCUGUAUUUCCCAUUACCUUCUGUUACUUCUGUCGAAUGACCACCAUAUUCUUUGGAAGCUUGAAUUUCAGGUUAGGGGACCCUGUGGGCUUCUUUUUUACGAAUAGGGUUCAUAUUCUGAAUAUAAUAAUGAUAAUGAUAAUAAUAGAAAUAACAACUGGACAUAUGCAUACACAAGCUCCUAGGGGCCUCCCUGUAAUUUUCUCUGUGACUGAUCUGGAUGGGCACACGUGACUUCAAAUUCUGUGGCUGUUUCUACCACCAUAUUCCUGGAAGUUGUAAUAUCAUGAUAAAGUUCCAACACUUGUUGAGUAAGACCUUCUUGUGCCCUUUGUUGUUGUAAGGUCUCAUCUAAUUGCUUGUCCGGGUACUUGGUUGAGUGCUUUCUCAAGACAUACCACCGUAUCACUUCCUUUUCUAACAUGUAUCUUCUUAUGUAGUCAUUGAUUUUAAAAGAUUUUUAUUAAACAUUUCUUCCAUCACCCAUACUUAUCACACUGUGUUUCAGCAGUCUUAGUUCCUCGGACGAGUGGU
Molecule: long non-coding RNA, 1422 nt
Organism: Macrobrachium nipponense
Lineage: Eukaryota; Metazoa; Arthropoda; Malacostraca; Decapoda; Palaemonidae
Exons: 4
Source: RefSeq, a predicted model, not a curated record